GUACCCGCUGAACUUAAGCAUAUCAAUAAGCGGAGGAAAAGAAACCAACAGGGAUUGCCUCAGUAACGGCGAGUGAAGCGGCAACAGCUCAAAUUUGAAAUCUGGCCUCGGCCCGAGUUGUACUUUGCAGAGGGCGAUUCUGGUGAGGCACCUGCUGAGUCCCCUGGAACGGGGCGCCGCAGAGGGUGAGAGCCCCGUAGCGCAGGAUGCCGACCCGCUGUGAAUCCCCUUCGACGAGUCGAGUAGUUUGGGAAUGCUGCUCAAAAUGGGAGGUAAAUUCCUUCUAAAGCUAAAUACCGGCCAGAGACCGAUAGCGCACAAGUAGAGUGAUCGAAAGAUGAAAAGCACUUUGAAAAGAGGGUUAAACAGCACGUGAAAUUGUUGAAAGGGAAGCGCUCACGACCAGACUUGCGCCGGGGCGAUCAUCCGCUCUUCUGAGCGGUGCACUCGCCCCGGGGCAGGCCAGCAUCGGUUCCGGCGGGGGGACAAAAGCCCAGGGAAUGUGGCUCGCCUCGGCGAGUGUUAUAGCCCUGUCCACAAUGCCCCCGCGGGGACCGAGGUUCGCGCGUCUGCAAGGAUGCUGGCGUAAUGGUCAUCAGCGACCCGUCUUGAAACACGGACCAAGGAGUCAAGGUUUGGCGCGAGUGUCUGGGUGUCAAACCCGCACGCGUAAUGAAAGUGAACGCAGGUGAGAGCUUCGGCGCAUCAUCGACCGAUCCUGAUGUCCUCGGAUGGAUUUGAGUAGGAGCGUCAAGCCUUGGACCCGAAAGAUGGUGAACUAUGCUUGGAUAGGGUGAAGCCAGAGGAAACUCUGGUGGAGGCUCGCAGCGGUUCUGACGUGCAAAUCGAUCGUCAAAUCUGAGCAUGGGGGCGAAAGACUAAUCGAACCAUCUAGUAGCUGGUUACCGCCGAAGUUUCCCUCAGGAUAGCAGUGUUGUUCUUCAGUUUUAUGAGGUAAAGCGAAUGAUUAGGGACUCGGGGGCGCCAUAUUGCCUUCAUCCAUUCUCAAACUUUAAAUAUGUAAGAAGCCCUUGUUACUUAGCUGAACGUGGGCGUUCGAAUGUACCAACACUAGUGGGCCAUUUUUGGUAAGCAAAACUGGCG
This 1104-nucleotide ribosomal RNA is filed under the name Lasiosphaeris sp. 3 ANM-2011. Its description in RNAcentral is "LSU rRNA". It matches the Rfam family "Eukaryotic large subunit ribosomal RNA", at positions 22 to 1155 of the family's 3401-position model. Lineage: Eukaryota; Fungi; Ascomycota; Sordariomycetes; Sordariales; Lasiosphaeriaceae. The record is from RNAcentral.